Molecule: unclassified non-coding RNA, 379 nt
Filed under: uncultured Pseudomonadota bacterium
Lineage: Bacteria; Pseudomonadati; Pseudomonadota
Description: uncultured proteobacterium contains 16S-23S intergenic spacer region
Source: RNAcentral
UCACGUCUUACGACGGCAGUUUCACUAGAGUUCCCAGCGUUACCUGAUGGCAACUAAUGGCAAGGGUUGCGCUCGUUGCGGGACUUAACCCAACAUCUCACGACACGAGCUGACGACAGCCAUGCAGCACCUGUGUUACGGUUCCCUUUCGGGCACACCUCCAUCUCUGGAGGCUUCCGUACAUGUCAAGGGUAGGUAAGGUUUUUCGCGUUGCAUCGAAUUAAUCCACAUAAUCCACCGCUUGUGCGGGUCCCCGUCAAUUCCUUUGAGUUUUAAUCUUGCGACCGUACUCCCCAGGCGGAGAGCUUAUUGAGUUAUCUGCGCCACUGAAAAGUAAACUUCCCAACGGCUAGCUCUCAUCGUUUACGGCGUGGACUAC